Molecule: ribosomal RNA, 1440 nt
Filed under: uncultured bacterium
Lineage: Bacteria
Description: bacterial SSU rRNA
Rfam family: Bacterial small subunit ribosomal RNA
Source: RNAcentral
UAACACAUGCAAGUCGAACGGAAACGAAACUAGCUUGCUAGUAGGCGUCGAGUGGCGGACGGGUGAGUAACGCGUAGGAAUCUGCCUGAUAGUGGGGGAUAGCCCGAAGAAAUUCGGAUUAAUACCGCAUAAUCUAUUCGUAGUAAAGUGGGGGACUUUCGAGCCUCACGCUAUCAGAUGAGCCUGCGUAAGAUUAGCUUGUUGGUAGGGUAAAAGCCUACCAAGGCUACGAUCUUUAGCUGGUCUGAGAGGAUGAUCAGCCACAUCGGGACUGAGACACGGCCCGAACUCCUACGGGAGGCAGCAGUGGGGAAUAUUGGACAAUGGGGGCAACCCUGAUCCAGCAAUACCGCGUGUGUGAAGAAGGCUGAGGGUUGUAAAGCACUUUCAAUUGUGAAGAAAAGUUAACGGUUAAUAACCGUUGACCUCGACGUUAACUUUAGAAGAAGCACCGGCUAACUCCGUGCCAGCAGCCGCGGUAAUACGGAGGGUGCAAGCGUUAAUCGGAAUUACUGGGCGUAAAGCGUGCGUAGGCGGUUUAUUAAGUCAGAUGUGAAAGCCCCGGGCUUAACCUGGGAACUGCAUUUGAAACUGGUCAACUAGAGUAUGGUAGAGGAAAGUGGAAUUUCUGGUGUAGCGGUGAAAUGCGUAGAUAUCAGAAGGAACAUCAAUGGCGAAGGCAGCUUUCUGGACCAAUACUGACGCUGAGGUACGAAAGCGUGGGUAGCAAACAGGAUUAGAUACCCUGGUAGUCCACGCCGUAAACGAUGAUAACUAGCCGUUGGGGGGAUUUACCCCUCAGUGGCGAAGCUAACGCGUUAAGUUAUCCGCCUGGGGAGUACGGCCGCAAGGCUAAAACUCAAAGGAAUUGACGGGGACCCGCACAAGCGGUGGAGCAUGUGGUUUAAUUCGAUGCAACGCGAAGAACCUUACCUGGUCUUGACAUCCUGCGAACUUUCUAGAAAUAGAUUGGUGCCUUCGGGAACGCAGUGACAGGUGCUGCAUGGCUGUCGCCAGCUCGUGUCGUGAGAUGUUGGGUUAAGUCCCGUAACGAGCGCAACCCCUAUCCUUAUUUGCCAGCACAUUAUGGUGGGAACUAUAAGGAGACUGCCGGUGAUAAACCGGAGGAAGGCGGGGACGACGUCAAGUCAUCAUGGCCCUUACGACCAGGGCUACACACGUGCUACAAUGGGAAGGACAAAGAGCCGCGAAGCCGCGAGGUGUAGCUAAUCUCAUAAAUCUUUUCGUAGUCCGGAUUGGAGUCUGCAACUCGACUCCAUGAAGUCGGAAUCGCUAGUAAUCGUAGAUCAGAAUGCUACGGUGAAUACGUCCCCGGGUCUUGUACACACCGCCCGUCAUACCAUGGGAGUGGGUUGCACCAGAAGUGGCUAGCCUAACUUUGUGAGGACGGUCACCACGGUGUGAUUCAUGACUGGGGUA